This 496-nucleotide ribosomal RNA is filed under the name uncultured bacterium. RNAcentral describes it as "partial 16S ribosomal RNA". It matches the Rfam family "Bacterial small subunit ribosomal RNA", at positions 28 to 506 of the family's 1533-position model. The record is from RNAcentral.
GAUGAACGCUGGCGGCGUGCCUAAUACAUGCAAGUCGAGCGAACAGACGAGGAGCUUGCUCCUCUGACGUUAGCGGCGGACGGGUGAGUAACACGUGGAUAACCUACCUAUAAGACUGGGAUAACUUCGGGAAACCGGAGCUAAUACCGGAUAAUAUAUUGAACCGCAUGGUUCAAUAGUGAAAGACGGUUUUGCUGUCACUUAUAGAUGGAUCCGCGCCGCAUUAGCUAGUUGGUAAGGUAACGGCUUACCAAGGCGACGAUGCGUAGCCGACCUGAGAGGGUGAUCGGCCACACUGGAACUGAGACACGGUCCAGACUCCUACGGGAGGCAGCAGUAGGGAAUCUUCCGCAAUGGGCGAAAGCCUGACGGAGCAACGCCGCGUGAGUGAUGAAGGUCUUCGGAUCGUAAAACUCUGUCAUUAGGGAAGAACAAAUGUGUAAGUAACGAUGCACGUCUUGACGGGACCUAAGCAGAAAGCCACGGCUAACUACGU